Molecule: non-coding RNA, 169 nt
Filed under: uncultured Faecousia sp.
Lineage: Bacteria; Bacillati; Bacillota; Clostridia; Eubacteriales; Oscillospiraceae
Source: RNAcentral
GUCGUGAGGCUUUAGGGGUUGAAAGAUCCCCGAAUGGGUAACGCUCCGGCCCGACGGACAGAAAUCGCAUAUAAGGCCGGAAGGAAGGGUGAGUUUGCAACCCAAAGCAAAGCCCAAUCGCUACCGGUCAUCGCUUUUCGGUAAACGCGGCAGGUAAAGGGAGAGAACG